CCCAACAACCAUGUCCGCCAGAAAAUUACGAGCGAAAAGCUUAAAACUCAAAGGACUUGGCGGUGCUUCACAUCAACUUAGAGGAGCCUGUCCUACAAUCGAUACCCCACGUUAAACCUCACCAUCUUUUGCCCCCCGCCUAUAUACCGCCGUCGUAAAUUUACCCCACAAGAGCCCCACAGUAAGUACAAUUGCCCCCCCCCAAAAACGUCAGGUCAAGGUGUAGCCAAUAAGAUGGCAGAGAUGGGCUACAUUUUUUAAAAUAAAACACCACGACAUGGGCCUAUGAAACAAACCCUGAAGGCGGAUUUAAC
Molecule: ribosomal RNA, 314 nt
Filed under: Polychrus peruvianus (Peruvian bush anole)
Lineage: Eukaryota; Metazoa; Chordata; Lepidosauria; Squamata; Polychrotidae
Description: partial 12S ribosomal RNA
Source: RNAcentral